This 253-nucleotide ribosomal RNA is filed under the name uncultured bacterium. RNAcentral's name for it is "partial 16S ribosomal RNA". It matches the Rfam family "Bacterial small subunit ribosomal RNA", at positions 524 to 776 of the family's 1533-position model. The record is from RNAcentral.
UACGUAGGGUGCAAGCGUUGUCCGGAAUUAUUGGGCGUAAAGAGCGUGUAGGCGGCCCGGUUAGUCCGCUGUGAAAGUCUAGGGCUCAACCCUGGAAUGCCGGUGGAUACUGUCGGGCUAGAGUCCGGAAGGGGCGAGUGGAAUUCCUGGUGUAGCGGUGAAAUGCGCAGAUAUCAGGAGGAACACCAAUGGCGAAGGCAGCUCGCUGGGACGUGACUGACGCUGAGACGCGAAAGCGUGGGGAGCAAACAGG